RNAcentral lists this ribosomal RNA (402 nucleotides) under Triticum aestivum (bread wheat). RNAcentral's name for it is "partial small subunit ribosomal RNA". The record is from RNAcentral. Lineage: Eukaryota; Viridiplantae; Streptophyta; Magnoliopsida; Poales; Poaceae.
GUAAUAACGAUUGUUGAGUCUCUUCCAGAAGAAUUUGAACAAUUUAAGGUCAACUAUAACUCUCUCAAGGAAAAAUGGCCACCCGGUGAGAUGACCGCAAGGAUCGUCCAGGAGGAAGAGAGGAUCAUGAGACAGAAGAAAGACCAUGUUUUUCAUGUUGGCCCUCACAAGAGAAAGCAUGAGGGGCAAGGUUUCCCUAAGCCUCAGAAAAAGCAAUUCAAGAAAGAAGGCCCUAAGCCAUUCAUCCCCAAGCCAUUCAAGGGUAAAAAAGCCGGCAACUCUUCUUCUGGUGGAGAAAAUGCAUCUAACUCCUGCAAAGAGGAGGGACACUAUCAAAGGGACUGCCCAGGCUUUCUAAAAUGGAUGAACAAAAGAGGGAUUCGAUACGAUCCAAACUAUAAG